RNAcentral lists this unclassified non-coding RNA (345 nucleotides) under soil metagenome. RNAcentral describes it as "partial contains 5.8S ribosomal RNA, internal transcribed spacer 2, and large subunit ribosomal RNA". The stretch from base 1 to 119 matches the Rfam family "5.8S ribosomal RNA", at positions 35 to 154 of the family's 154-position model. The record is from RNAcentral.
GAUGAAGAACGUAGCGAAAUGCGAUACGUAAUGUGAAUUGCAAAUUCAGUGAAUCAUCGAGUCUUUGAACGCACAUUGCGCCCCCUGGUAUUCCGGGGGGCAUGCCUGUCCGAGCGUCAUUGCUGCCCUCAAGCACGGCUUGUGUGUUGGGCCCCGUCCUCCGAUCCCGGGGGACGGGCCCGAAAGGCAGCGGCGGCACCGCGUCCGGUCCUCGAGCGUAUGGGGCUUUGUCACCCGCUCUGUAGGCCCGGCCGGCGCAUGCCGAUCAACCCAAAUUUUUAUCCAGGUUGACCUCGGAUCAGGUAGGGAUACCCGCUGAACUUAAGCAUAUCAAUAAGCGGAGGA